This 354-nucleotide ribosomal RNA is filed under the name uncultured bacterium. Its description in RNAcentral is "bacterial SSU rRNA". It matches the Rfam family "Bacterial small subunit ribosomal RNA", at positions 8 to 349 of the family's 1533-position model. The record is from RNAcentral.
AGAGUUUGAUCCUGGCUCAGGAUGAACGCUAGCUACAGGCUUAACACAUGCAAGUCGAGGGGAAACGACAUCGAAAGCUUGCUUUUGAUGGGCGUCGACCGGCGCACGGGUGAGUAACGCGUAUCCAACCUGCCCACCACUUGGGGAUAACCUUGCGAAAGUAAGACUAAUACCCAAUGACGUCUCUAGAAGACAUCUGAAAGGGAUUAAAGAUUUGUCGGUGAUGGAUGGGGAUGCGUCUGAUUAGCUUGGUUGGCGGGGUAACGGCCACCAAGGCUACGAUCAGUAGGGGUUCUGGAGAGGAAGGUCCCCCANAUUGGAACUGAGACACGGUACCAAACUCCUACGGGAGCA